GCCGCGUGAGUGAUGAAGGUUUUCGGAUCGUAAAACUCUGUUGUUAGGGAAGAACAAGUACCGGAGUAACUGCCGGUACCUUGACGGUACCUAACCAGAAAGCCACGGCUAACUACGUGCCAGCAGCCGCGGUAAUACGUAGGUGGCAAGCGUUGUCCGGAAUUAUUGGGCGUAAAGCGCGCGCAGGCGGUCUUUUAAGUCUGAUGUGAAAGCCCCCGGCUCAACCGGGGAGGGUCAUUGGAAACUGGGAGACUUGAGUGCAGAAGAGAAGAGUGGAAUUCCACGUGUAGCGGUGAAAUGCGUAGAGAUGUGGAGGAACACCAGUGGCGAAGGCGACUCUUUGGUCUGUAACUGACGCUGAGGCGCGAAAGCGUGGGGAGCGAACAGGAUUAGAUACCCUGGUAGUCCACGCCGUAAACGAUGAGUGCUAAGUGUUAGAGGGUUUCCGCCCUUUAGUGCUGCAGCAAACGCAUUAAGCACUCCGCCUGGGGAGUACGGCCGCAAGGCUGAAACUCAAAGGAAUUGACGGGGGCCCGCACAAGCGGUGGAGCAUGUGGUUUAAUUCGAAGCAACGCGAAGAACCUUACCAGGUCUUGACAUCCUCUGACCUUCCUAGAGAUAGGACUUUCCCCUUCGGGGGACAGAGUGACAGGUGGUGCAUGGUUGUCGUCAGCUCGUGUCGUAAGAUGUUGGGUUAAGUCCCGCAACGAGCGCAACCCUUGUC
RNAcentral lists this ribosomal RNA (724 nucleotides) under uncultured Bacillus sp. Its description in RNAcentral is "bacterial SSU rRNA". It matches the Rfam family "Bacterial small subunit ribosomal RNA", at positions 396 to 1109 of the family's 1533-position model. Lineage: Bacteria; Bacillati; Bacillota; Bacilli; Caryophanales; Bacillaceae. The record is from RNAcentral.